Molecule: long non-coding RNA, 10006 nt
Filed under: Citrus sinensis (sweet orange)
Lineage: Eukaryota; Viridiplantae; Streptophyta; Magnoliopsida; Sapindales; Rutaceae
Description: long non-coding RNA (CSIN_LNC003130)
Source: RNAcentral
UACCGAUUUGUGUGUAAAAGUAUAAUGCUAUAUUAGGGUUUAUUAUGGUGUUAAAAGUCCGAGAUUUAGCUUAUAUUCUUUUUUCCACAGAUUGGAUGAUAUUUUUCGUCCACAAACAAGAACACGGUACAAAAGCACGAUAUCAGCAGAUAUUUUUACAUAAUUACCAAAAAAUGUGUAAUAGAAGUUGAUUUUGAUGAUACAUAUUUCAUUUCAUGUUAUUUUCUUUCAAAAAGGUUAGAGGGUGGAUAAAGGUUAAAUCUACUUUUUUCUUCUAUAAAUCCCACACUAUUCAAAUUUAGCCUGCUUGCUUGAAAACUUGUUUAAUCGCUUGGAUGAGACGGCCCAUGAUGAACCAAUACAAGUAACGUGUGUUCAUUUUCCAUUUCAUUUCCCUAAGUACUAUUACUGCUGUACCGUACAUCCGCCUUGGCCGUACAGCAGUGAUCAUCAUCCGGCUUGUUCCGAACUCAUUCCAAUCUGAAUUCAAUUUGAAAUAUUCACCCAAUCGAGUUCGAACUAAUGUAAACUUUUCCUUCAAUCCAAAUUCGAUCCCAACAUGCGAUUCGAAUUACAUUCAGAUGGCAUUUUUUUUAAAUCUGAAAUUUGAUUGAAUUGAACCGAAUCUAUAUUUAAGCAUGAAAAAGUUUUGAUGACCAAGUGGCAUGGCAAAAGGUGCAUCAAUAUUAAACACCAUUAAAUCUUCUAAAGAUUUCGCAUUAGCUAAUACUCCCGCAUCCCCUUUAACAAGACCAUCUGUAUUGUAAAUAUUAGUGAGGAGUAUUUGACUUGGCAUGUACUUCAUAAAAUAAAAAUGCAAUAAUGUAAGUCACAUGUAUAUAUCUGAUUGUAAAUAUCAGUGCAAUGACCUGCUGUCAUAGCAGUUGUAUAUAUCUCUGUGUAAUACAGUAACCUGAUGCUUAAUCAGUUUAAAAAAAAAAAAAAACAAGACCAUUUGCAUUAACUUUUAAUCCAUUAAGCUGCAGAGAAUACCAAGAGACAAUAUAGAUACUUGGAGUAUAACUUGAAGAUCGAGGGGGAUGUAACUCAGAAUAUUGACCAUUUAAUGGGGAAAGUAACACCAAAACAAAAUACUUAUCCAGCGCCUUAGCCUGCGUAAAAGCACAAUUGACAAAUAAAUGAGCAGAAAUUUCAAGACCUCGAAAGCCUUAAGGAGCAACAUGAGACAAUUGGAAUCCCACAGCCACAGGCCACGGGCCAGAAGAAUAUCGUUACUUAUUUUCGAAAUUUCAUAAUAACCUAAAAAACAAAAAAAGAGUGCAUGUGUAUUUACAUCCAAUCAAGUUGCACGCAGAGCAUAAUGCCCAAUUAUUUUAAUUUUAUAUUUAUAUAAUUAAUUAUUAGUAUGACAUCAAAAUAGAAAUGUUUCAAUUCAAUACUUGAACUUAAUUAAAAUAUGAAAAAAAUAUAUUAAAUAAUAUAAUGCCAUUAUAUUAAGGGCAAAUGCUAAGUUACAAUAAUUGUAACAUACAUUCUUCAUGUGAACCACACAAAUUGUGGGUCCUACAAUUUUGUGUGGUUCACAUGAGGGAUGUAUGUUACAAUUAUUGUAACUUAGAGGCUCCCUUAUAUUAAAUUUUAAAAAAGUCCAAAAACUUAGAAUAGAUCAAUAUUCGACAUUAGAAUAGAGGAAACUUAGAUAAUAUAUUUGUCACAUCAAAGUUGGGGGAUACUCAAUAAUUAAUUGAUUUUUUUUUCAAAAAGAAUAAUAUAAUUGAUUUUAAUUUGUGAUUUCCCUUGCCAUGCUGUAACUUGUUGACCAUUAGUGGAUGUCUUAAACGACCGUUAGGUUCCGAGCACAACAUCGCGACAGAUACUCCCGCCAAUUUUCAACUGGAUGUAUGGAAGCCAUUUCCUGUCUACGUGGCAAAAUCUUGCUACUAUGAUUAUCCUCUGCAUACUGUGUACCACUCAGCAUUGUAGUAGACUGUUCCUUCUCCAGCUAAAAAGUUUAAAAUUUUCAAAAGAAAGGAUUAUUGGACUUCAUCAUUGCAUUUAUAAUCUCUUUCCCACCGUCCUAUUACUAGUUUUCAAUCAUGCCCGUUGGUUUUACUUUUCACUUUAUGAUUUCGACACUUGGCAAAAAGAUGAAUGGCCUUCUAUUUCUCAUGUCUCAUUAAUAAUAAAAUAAAAUAAAAUAAAUAUAAAGUUGCUGCCACCAUUGGUCGUCAUCAUAUCUCACAUAUAAAGGGUAUGCUUGGGACAACUAAGCUGCCUCAAUAUAAUUGCUCUCCAUUCUAUAUUUUGGAGAAUAUUUAUUAAAAUAAAACAUGGGGAGGAGCUGCGCUAUACCCCAAACGCUCGCAAAAUUAAGGGUGCCAUGGCAAGGACACAUAAAAUAAUUAGUAAUAUGACAAUAAGAUAUUUUUAAACUAAAGAAAGAUAUUUUUUUAAUGAAAGGGUGAUACUUUGGUUCCUUAUCACCAUUUUCACUCAAAAUAAAAUUCAAAGUUACAAGAGAAUCCUGGUCACACUGGAGUAAUUACCCAAUUUUCGUUUCAUCUGAAACAAGAUAAUAUUAGUUUAAGAAAUUUUACAAUACGAUUUUUAAUAACUAAAAUAUAAUUAAACUCACAUUUUUCCUUAAAAUUACGAAUAUACCCCCAACCAUCCCGCUGAAACCAUGAACAACAAUUCCAACGAAACGACUAGGAGGGCAACGUAAUUUCCCAUUUAAAGAAGAGUGGGCGAUCCAAUCAAAAGACAAGGAGUGGACAAAGCAAAAAUGCCAACUGUCAAAACAUUAAAACGCAGAAUAAGUGAAUAAGGUGUCUUAUUUUCGUCCUAACCAUUCGAUUUUGAACUUCCAGACCCGUCUUUCAUUAAAAACCAAAAACGAAAAAGAAAAAAAUAAAAUUCCAAAAACGAAAAUAACGAGAAAGCUAAAAAAAAAAACCAAAAUCAAGCAUCAGCUACCAAAAACACCUGUAAGUUCAUCAGUUUCUUUUUUCAAUUAUUAUUUAUCCUAAUCUGUUAAUCAGUCGUGUGAGCACGAUCUGAGCUUAGCUUAUUACAGGAUUCCCUUUUAGACUAUAAUUUGAUAUACUAUAAUUUAUUUAUUUAUUUAUUUAUUGUUCUUUUGAGUUGAUUGGAUUUUAAUUUGUUGCUUGUGAAAUGAAUUUCGUUCGCUCGGGGAAAUGAAGAUAAAAAUUUUAAUUUACAAUCGAAUUUCAGAUUAGGUCGUCUUGUUUUGGAAAUUGGAAGUCCAUAUAUAUACAUAUAAAAUUAAUUUUUUUUAAUGAAAGAGUAUUUGUAUAUGUGUCUCAGAUCGUGAUUAAUAAAUAAUCUGAACUUGAAUGAAUUAAUUAGGGCAAUUUUAUAUAAUGUGUUUAUGUUGAAGGUGGGACAGCAAGUUGAUGAAAUACAAGAGACGCAAUUUAACUGUCAUCAACAGAUAUAUAUAUAUAUUAGCAGCUGUAAAGGAUGGCCUGUAGAGGGUGCCUGGAGUGUUUAUUGAAGCUUCUGAACUUUCUGUUGACCAUUGUGGGACUGGCAAUGGUUGGUUAUGGGAUUUACUUGUUUGUUGAAUACAAAAGAGCAGACAAUUCGGGUACAGUUUCACCCGUGAGUGGUGAUGAGGGCUUCGUUCAGCUUGGUCGGCCCAUGCUUAUGGCUGUGUCUUUAGCGGACAGUAUUUUUGACAAGUUGCCAAAAGCUUGGUAUGAAUGCUUCUUCUAAUUUUGCCUUCAUUUUAAAGCCCUUUCUGAGUAUAUUGGAUGUUAUAAUUUCAUCUUGAUUUGUAGUGUAAUAGAAUAUUUUUCAGAGACUGUGAUAAACAAUGUCUUGCUUUUGAGAUUUCAAGCAGCGGCCAUUUCUCAGUCCAUUUACUUCAUGGUUAUUUUAAAUUGCUCUAACAAAUGUAGAGUUCUUGCACAUUUUCCUUUCUUUCUUACAUGAUUUGGAAAUUUUGUGGUAAUCGAUAAUAUGUACAAGGAACGUAGCCUUUACUAUGAUUACAGAAUUGAAAUAUCUCUCCCAAUGGGGAGAAGGGGAGGGGAAAAAAAGGCUUUUCUAUCUUUCACAGAGAGGGCAACUGACUAAUAAUAAGUUAGAGUGGUUGAUGAUAUGAAUUUAAUUUUUUCAUGAAAUGUUUUCUUUGAGGUUCGCAAGAGUUGCCUCGCGAUAAAACAGCUUAUUACUUGAAUACAAGUUUACAAUAAACACUUGAUAACCAUAUCAUGAUUGUUAUUGGAUUUAUUUUUUUUAUCUAUUUACCACUAGCAAAAGACAUAGACAUUGAGCCUGGACGAACACCUAAUUAGAAUAUAGAUUAUAUACUCCUUGCUUUCAGUACAUCAAGGUCAAGUUAACUGAUGCAUUUGUUGGCUGCUAAAAAGUUAGCAGAGCAAAAAAUGACAUAAUGUUGUGCUACAUUUGUUAUUAUGUCUGCAGUUUUAACCUUUCUAUUGAAUAAGUCAAGGAAAAGUGUUAUAUUGUUAAAAUUUAGAGUUUGAAUUCUACAUCCAGUCUUUCUUGUCCUAUGGUGAUUCUGAGACUUAUAUGUAUUCGUUAUUAUUAAUUUAUGAAUUCUGAUGAGUACUUGAUUGCACAACUUGAUUUUUUUUUUUUUUUGUUUCAUAUGUCUUUUCAGGUUCAUAUACUUAUUUAUUGGUGUGGGAGUUGUUCUCUUUGUCAUCUCUUGUGUUGGUUGUAUCGGUGCUACAACACGGAAUGGAUGUUGCCUGACUUGUGUAUCCUUAGUACUUUAAUAAUCCUUUUUAAUUGUAAUUAUAGGGAUUUUGAUUUCCAUCAUUCAUCUGUUUCACAUGGCAAUGACAAUAUUAUAUUGAUAUCACGCACUGCAGUCUUUCAUCAUUUUAAUAAGAGUAGUGCCAUAUAUUCCAAAAGUUAUUGCCGAAGUGAAUCCCAAUUGGUGUGAUUGGUUGAUUUGUGCAAUAAGGUACAUUGAAAAUUGUGAAUCCACAUGAUGAAUGCUGCAGCACAUGCCAUCUUAUUUGGAUGCAUUUUUCCAGAUAAAUUUUAAACAUGUACUAGUAAUCUUUUAAUUAUUCUAAUGGCUAAUUGUUUCUAAAUGUCUUAUGUUGCUUAUUCCCCUCUUUUUCCUUGGUUAUUAAUGAUUUCCUUAAGCCCACAUAGUAUUCAGUGCUGGUGAUCUUGUUGAUCUUGGUUGAGUUGGGAUGUGCAGCCUUCUUUUACUUUGACAAAUCCUGGAGAGAAGUGAGUAGUCUUUUGACUGGAUUUUUGAAUCAUAACGGUAUUCAUUGUUAUCUGAACUGUACAAUAUAUGUUUUCUUUUGUUUUCUCCAGGAGAUUCCAGCUGACAGAACUGGUGAUUUUAACAUGAUAUAUGAUUUUCUGAGAGAAAACUGGAAUAUUGUGAAGUGGGUCGCUCUGGGAGUUGUUAUUUUGCAGGUAAGAUAAACAUCGAGUCAUUUGCUUUAUGAGAGGAUAUAAGAAAAAGAUACUCUCUCACUUGCACCCAUCCUGAAUAUUGACAAGCAUUCUGAUGUAGUGAGACAUUGUUCAUUUUUUAAAAUGUAUCUGCAGAACAGGUUUAGGAUGGGUCGGGUAGAUCUUACAUUUAGAUUUGCCUUGGUUGUAGAGAAAUAAAAUAAACCUCUAAUAUGUGCAUUUUCUUUUUCAUUUGUGCUUUAUAGAUAGUCUUUAUUAUUCUUUUGAAAGUGAGAUGUGAUUUUUUUCACAUAAUUGGGCCUAGAAUAUUUGGCAAUUCUUGCGUUCAACCCACUGUGUUGGAACCACUUAUCUUAUUUAUCAUUAAUAGGAUAAGGGUUUACCAUUCUUGAUUGUUUAAUUUUCUGUUAUAAGGCCGAUUUAGGACAUCCUAAAGGUGCGCAUACCAUACAUAUUCUAGACGUAGGCAAAAUUUGCUCAGAUCAUUUUUGUAGCUGUGUUAGGAUUUUCUGGGACUUAUUAUAAUACUAAUAUAUCUUCACGAGAUAUUUUAUUAUAAGAAAGUUAUUUUUGCUUUAUUAUUAUGACAAUGCCUUUUCUUAUUGAUUAAGGUUUUAUUAUUAUAAUAUUACUGUUUGGAUUAAUAUGUAUAUACAAGAGCCCUUAAGGCAUGAAUGAAUUUAUUUUAAAUAUUCCUUCUCUCAAUGAAUUCUUUCUAGUUCUUCAUUUCUUGUCUUAUAUACUUUGUAAAUAUCCCUCGUUUCUUUCUAAAGUUCUUUAUUUCUAAUAAGCUUCAAAUCCUACAAAAAUUUUGAUGCAUGGAAACAUACAACCAUAUUUGAUACUUUUAUUCCAUGUAAAGAAAAAAAAAGUGUGAGCCAGUGAAUGAUGGAGGUAGAAUAUGAAUGUCAUAGCCAUAUCACCGAUUAUUAGGUUUUAGCUUAAGCCAGAACCUCAUCCUCAUCUAUUUACUGUAGCUUAGGUGGCUAAGAUGUCCUUACACUUCAGUCACUGAGAGAUGUCUUGUUUCUCUCAAAUUCGGUUCUUACUCUAAGGAUAUCUAUCGUGAUAGUGUUCCUAUGGACGUCACUCAUAUUCUGUUAGUCAGGUCAUGGAUUUUGAUCACAAUUUUAAGAAUUUUGGAUGAGAUAACAUGUGUGUUCUCCUGUACUUGUAAAACCAUUGCCCUAAAGCCUGCUACACCUGAUGACACAGGGAGUUAAUCACCGAAGUUCAAAUAAUGGUGGAGGUGAGUACUUUUUAUUAGGUGAUUUUGAGGGGUGUUUUAUGGGUAUACACUUUGGAGACAGUGAUAGAACUAAUUAGUAUGGUUAAAAUUGUGGUGGCAGUUUGAGUCACGGCCAGUGGCUGGAUGGUGGUAGUGGUGUUUAAAAAAGGAUAUAAAAGAGAAGAAAUGGAGGGAAAACUAGAGAGAAUUCAUAGAAGGAAAUAUUCAAAUUCAACUCGUUCGUGUUGUGAUUUAUAUUAAGCACUCGGUCCCUGUAUAGAGGGGAAAAAGGAAACAUACCUAAGUAGAAAAAAGGGAUAUAAAAAUAUUAAACCAAAAGGCAAUAUUAUUAUAAUUAAACCUUAACCAUUAAGAAAACGAAUUAUAAUAUCAAACCAAUAAGUAAUGUUAUUAUAAUAAAUUCUCCCAUAAAAAUACAUUAUUAUAAUCAUACAAGUCACAAAAAAUCUUGAUAUAACCAGGGAAAAAAAAAAAUUCUAGCAAUAUACUAAGUCCUAUGCCUAUGUCCGGUGUAUGUACGUAGAUCUCUAGGAUGUCAUACAUCAAAAGCUUUUGGAGGGGACGAAAACUAUAGCACUUAUUGGAGCAUUUGGUUGAGUAUAAUCCAAGAUCCAGAGGAAUCUGUGUAGUUUUGGUUUCAUAUGUCUUCAACUUCUGGAUUUACUUGUUUUUAGGCAUUCUUUUCCUACUUAAAUUCUGCUACUGUCUUCCGUAGUGUGAUCCAUAGCACCCCAUCAUUUUGGUGUUCUUUGAAUAUGGUUAUUUUUUAUGUGGAUGUAGCUAUUUUUUAUGUAUGUAUGUACUUCUUUCCUUACCAAUUGAAGUAUUGCUUCGUGGCGAAUCUGUUUAUGGGAAAUUGUAAUUCUACGUCUUAUGUUUCAGCUUUUCCCAUACUUCAUAAGACCAAUGAUAUAGGUCAGAAAUAGUUGGAAAUUUUCUGUUGAAGUUAUUGAAAGGGAAAAUCGGUAGGCUUUUGAAAAUUAGAUGCUGCUAUUAUCUAACAUAAUAGUCCUGCACUCCUGUGAACUUGUAAAAUCAGGCUGCAACUUGGCUGAGUUUUAUGAGCUCAAAGUAUCUGUUUCACCUCUUUGCCCAAGACCUUCCUCAUGUUCGAAAUCAAUUGAACUAGUGUUUGCCAAGCUGAGCUCCACUAAUUGAUAUAUAGAGAUUUGGUCAUGGAUUCAGUUGUUUCCUCUUGGGAUGAGAAAAGGGGGAAUUCAUAAAUCUGAUUGAAGAUGAAAUCUACAAUUAAACACUAUUUUAAUUUGUAGCCCAUCAGACUGCAGAAAUGAACCUGAAAAAAACCUGGAUUGUGCUGUGGGAAGAAAGAAAAAAGAAAAGGCUGUCAAUUUGGCUCUCUUUUUUGCACCCUUUCCCCUCUCUUUCUUGGGGUGAUUACAGUAGUGGAGCAUCAUACCUAGUUUGUUUUCUUAUUCAAAUACACAAUUAUGUUCUAUUGACUUUAAGGGCAUGAAGGCAGUAGGAUAUGCAUUCCAAGAUGUAUGUAAAAUGCAAAACAUAAUACUAUGGAUUUGAGUUGAGCUUCUUAGUCCAUUAAUCUAAGUCUGGUCGUAUAUACCACACUGCUUUUUUCUGUAAGUGCAGUGUUGGACUGGACUAGUCAUGGAAUUUUUACCUUCUAAUGCUCCCGUAUGGCAGCUCUUAUUAAAUGAAUGAACCUUGGAAUUUGUAGGCUUUGAUUUUCCUGUUAGCUAUUAUAGUCAGAGCAGCAAACAGACCAGUGGAGUAUGACAGUGAUGAUGAGCUCAUUGCCCCAAGGCAACAGAUUCGGCAGCCUUUGAUCAACAGGCCCACACCUCCUGCCACAGGUGUGCCUGUUGCUGGUUCCCUUGAUCAGCGUCCUAGCAGAAAUGAUGCUUGGAGUACCCGUAUGAGAGAAAAGGUGUGUGUCCUUUUCUUUUCUUUUUUAAUUUUUUAAUCUAGCAAUUUUUUUUUAAUAGUAUAGUAAAACCUCUGUAUAGUGAUACACUAUAUAGGAAUAACCUAUAUAUAAUCAUAAAAAAUAUUGGUCCUAAUUUGGGCCAAUUAUAAAUAAGAAUAAACCGUACAUUGUAAAAAGUUAUAUAUAAUUUUUUUUUAGAUUAUGUCUUAAGGAAUUUGUCUCCGCAAAGUAAUAAUUAUUUUGUAUAUUCCAAAAUGUAUGUGCUAUUUUAUAUUAAAGGUUUAAGAUGAAAGAAAAUUAUUUUUUUGAAGUUGUUUGGGGCAAUGAUUUAUACAAUGUACAAUAGAGAAAAACAUAUCAAAGAGAUAGACUUUUAAGAUGAUUUUGCAUAACACUACAUAGAUACAUAUACCAGUUUUUUGAAACUAUGCCUAUCUCUUUGAUCCAUACGUUGGAUUUGACAUGUUCCUCUAAUUAUUUAUUAAUGUAGUGCAAACUUUGUAUCACUUGCAUUUAGGAUAACUAAGUCAAAACAUUAAUUUUUAUAAGUACACCUCUGUUAAGUUAUAACCUCUUGUUAGUAAUAAAAUUAGUUUGGUCCCAACAAUAUGACAAUAGAGCGUUUUUAUUGUACAUAGAUCAUACAAGUGCUUCAUCUGGCUGUAAUCAUGAAUAACUUUCAAGAAUGAUACUUGAUAUUCAAACUCUACAAAUGAACUAACCUCUGCCAACUGAGGCAGCUUAAAAUUAGUGAAUUGAAAACACAAAGGUGAAUGAAACAAGUGAGAAUAGAUGAUGGGUUGAUAAUAUAAUAAUGCCACAUCAAUUCAUAUGAAAAGAGAUUUGUUGGAGUGUUUGUAGUUGUAGAAUUAUUCAACUGGGGGAUUGUAGCUUAUCUAGGCGUUAUAUUAAAAUAUAGAGUGCACAUGAUAGGUGGAUAUUCAGGUUGCUAUUUAUCAUUAAAAUGAGUGUUAUGGCCAAGUUCUGUUUCUGACACUGUAAUGUUGUUCUUGAAUUGACAUAAACCAGUACGGGCUUGAUACGUCUGAGUUCACGUACAACCCGUCUGAGUCACACAGGUUCCAACAGGUGGCUACACAGCCAGCAGAAGAAAGGAGCCGCUGCACCAUCAUGUAAUGAGUUUCUGGAUGUCCCUCAGAAUCUAAACUGAAUUGCUUUCUUCGAGUAUUGCAGAAGACGGUCUUUUCGUUUUGUUGAGUUUGUGUAGAAAACACAUUGUUCAGGAGUUAUAACCAUUCCCCCACCUGUCUUGUUCCAUUUUUCUUCGACAAAACAAAUCUUGAUCAAAUGGACUACCGAUUUGUGUGUAAAAGUAUAAUGCUAUAUUAGGGUUUAUUAUGGUGUUAAAAGUCCGAGAUUUAGCUUAUAUUCUUUUUUCCACAGAUUGGAUGAUAUUUUUCGUCCACAAACAAGAACACGGUACAAAAGCACGAUAUCAG